GGUCCUUUCGGAUUAGGUGUUAUACUU
This 27-nucleotide unclassified non-coding RNA is filed under the name Dictyostelium discoideum. The record is from RNAcentral. Lineage: Eukaryota; Evosea; Eumycetozoa; Dictyosteliales; Dictyosteliaceae.